Maniola jurtina (meadow brown) is the source of this 118-nucleotide long non-coding RNA. RefSeq lists it as uncharacterized. The record is from RefSeq and is a predicted model, not a curated record. The transcript is spliced from 3 exons. NCBI's taxonomy places the organism in Eukaryota, Metazoa, Arthropoda, Insecta, Lepidoptera, Nymphalidae.
AUGUGUAUGAUUUUAUUAAUGUGUAUAGAUUGUUUCAACGUAUAGUUCCUAUGGCGUUAUGUUGGUUCCCCUGUCUGUCCAAGUCAUUGGCACUUGGCAGCAUAUUUGCAUAAGAAGA